AACGCGAAGAACCUUACCUGGGCUUGAACCGCACAGGACCAGCCGUAGAAAUAUGGCCUUCCCGCAAGGGACCUGUGUAGAGGUGCUGCAUGGCUGUCGUCAGCUCGUGCCGUGAGGUGUUGGGUUAAGUCCCGCAACGAGCGCAACCCUUACUCUUAGUUGCCACCCGCAAGGGGGAACUCUAGGAGGACUGCUCCGGAUAACGGAGAGGAAGGUGGGGAUGACGUCAAGUCAGCAUGGCCUUUAUGUCCAGGGCUACACACGUGUUACAAUGCGCGGUACAAACCGUCGCGAACCUGCGAAGGGGAGCUAAUCGGAAAAAACUGCGCUCAGUUCGGAUUGCAGUCUGCAACUCGACUGCAUGAAGCCGGAAUCGCUAGUAAUGGCGUAUCAGAACGACGCCGUGAAUACGUUCCCGGGCCUUGUACACACCGCACUACUA
RNAcentral lists this ribosomal RNA (442 nucleotides) under uncultured bacterium. RNAcentral describes it as "bacterial SSU rRNA". It matches the Rfam family "Bacterial small subunit ribosomal RNA", at positions 958 to 1400 of the family's 1533-position model. The record is from RNAcentral.